RNAcentral lists this ribosomal RNA (515 nucleotides) under uncultured bacterium. RNAcentral's name for it is "bacterial SSU rRNA". It matches the Rfam family "Bacterial small subunit ribosomal RNA", at positions 8 to 518 of the family's 1533-position model. The record is from RNAcentral.
AGAGUUUGAUCAUGGCUCAGGAUGAACGCUGGCGGCGUGCCUAACACAUGCAAGUCGAACGGGGUUAAGGGAAAUUUCGGAUGGAACUUAACUUAGUGGCGGACGGGUGAGUAACGCGUGGAUAACCUGCCUCACACUGGGGGAUAGCAGCUGGAAACGGCUGGUAAUACCGCAUAAGACCCCGGUGCCGCAUGGCACCGAGGUAAAAGAUUUAUCGGUGUGAGAUGGAUCCGCGUCUGAUUAGCCAGUUGGCGGGGUAACGGCCCACCAAAGCGACGAUCAGUAGCCGGCCUGAGAGGGUGAACGGCCACAUUGGGACUGAGACACGGCCCAAACUCCUACGGGAGGCAGCAGUGGGGAAUAUUGCACAAUGGGCGCAAGCCUGAUGCAGCCAACGCCGCGUGAGCGAAGAAGUAUUUCGGUAUGUAAAGCUCUAUCGGCAGGGAAGAAAGGCCCGAAAGGGAGAUGACGGUACCUGACUAAGAAGCCCCGGCUAACUACGUGCCAGCAGCCGC